This 83-nucleotide transfer RNA is filed under the name Clathrospora elynae. It matches the Rfam family "tRNA". Rfam says of the family: Transfer RNA (tRNA) molecules are approximately 80 nucleotides in length. The record is from Rfam by way of RNAcentral. Lineage: Eukaryota; Fungi; Ascomycota; Dothideomycetes; Pleosporales; Diademaceae.
GCCCGUUUGGCUUAGUGGUACAGCGUCUCACUCGUAUAACACACGAUAUGAGAAGAUCCGCGGUUCGAUUCCGCGAAUGGGCA